This is a long non-coding RNA of Onychostoma macrolepis, 6635 nucleotides long. RefSeq lists it as uncharacterized. The record is from RefSeq and is a predicted model, not a curated record. The transcript is spliced from 4 exons. NCBI's taxonomy places the organism in Eukaryota, Metazoa, Chordata, Actinopteri, Cypriniformes, Cyprinidae.
UAUCAAACUACACAUGACAGUUAAAGGGAUGUAGCAUAAAUCAUGAAAAAUAUUUUACAAUUUUCUCUGCAGUUUCUGUGCACUUGUGAUUUUAGACAACUCCACACCGAACAGGACUUUUAUUUUGGUCUUGAGGUGUGUGUGACGUCAUAAGCCCGCGCGCCGCGCUCCUGCAUCUGUUGUGAUUCGGCUGCAGAAAGAUAAACUCAACUGAGAUCCACGAGACACACUAUUAUAAACUAUUAUAAAGAUGGCGUUUAUUAAAGAGGAGAGUGAAGACGUGAAGAUUGAGGAAACGUUCAGAGUCAAACAUGAAGAUACCGAGGAACAAACAGACCUGAUGGCGCUGAAAGAAGAGAAUGAAGUACUGAAUGAAAUCAAAGAGGAAGAUCAGUACACGAAUCACCAUGAUUUAAAAACUGAAGAAAAAUCUUUUAGUUGUUCACAGACUGAAACAGCUUCCAUACAGGAAAGGGCUCAAAAUAUAAGUUUUUCACCUGCCAAGAGUGUGGAAAGAGUUUGACUCAUAGAGGAAGCAUUAACAGGCACAUGAGAAUUCACACUGGAGAGACGCCUUACACAUGCCUUCAGUGUGGAAAGAGUUUUCAUCAACAUGGAAGCCUUAAAGUCCACAUGAGUAUUCAUACAGGAGAAAGGCCUUUUACCUGCCAACAGUGUGGAAAAAGAUUCAAACGAAAAGUAAACCUUGAUGACCACAUGAGAAUACACACUGGAAAAAACCCUUUCACUUGCCAUCAGUGUGGAAGAAGUUUUAACCGAAAAGGAACCCUUGAUUACCACAUGAGAGUACACACUGUAGAGAAACCCUACACAUGCCCUCACUGUAGAAAGAGUUUCAGCCAAAAAGGAAAAUAUGAAUACCACAUAAGAAAUCACACUAGAGAGAAACCCUACAUAUGCCCACAUUGUGGAAAUGGUUUCAUUCAAAAAGGACACGUUAUAGACCACAUAAGAAUUCACACUGGAGAGAAGCCUUUUACCUGCCAACAAUGUGGAAAUAGUUUCCGCCAAAAAGGAUGCCUUAACAGACACGUGAAAACGCACACUAGAGAGAAGUAAUUUGUAUGCGGUCACUUGGAAUGAGUUUUAGAAGUAAAGCAGCCACAUGAAGAUUCACACAUGAGUAAACUGCUCUAUAUUAUCAGUGUGGAAGCAGUUUCACAGACCGGAAACACCUGAGGAAUCAUGUAAUAACUCACACUGGAGAGAAGCCUUUACCUGCCAACAAUGUGGAAAUAGUUUCCGCCAAAAAGGAUGCCUUAACAGACACGUGAAAACGCACACUAGAGAGAAGUAAUUUGUAUGCGGUCACUUGGAAUGAGUUUUAGAAGUAAAGCAGCCACAUGAAGAUUCACACAUGAGUAAACUGCUCUAUAUUAUCAGUGUGGAAGCAGUUUCACAGACCGGAAACACCUGAGGAAUCAUGUAAUAACUCACACUGGAGAGAAGCCUUACAUGUGCCAUCACUGUGGAAAGACAUGCAAAACCAAAGCAAACCUUGAGGUUUAUAUGGAGCUCGGGGCGUCACCUGGAGGUGACUUCCCGGGCUCCGUAGGUUUACAUAAGUCCCGAUCUACUUUCAGCAAAAUUCUUCUUUGUUGUUUGUUAAAACACUUGAUCAGCGGAGACAGCGAACACCCCGGGUGGCAUUUAGAUGAAUCUGUAAAUAUGUGCUGGUGAUUUUCCUUUCAAUAACAAAAUAAAAGUGCUGAGAAAACAGCAUUGGAGUGUUGGAGUGGAUCUCUGCAGUGUAUGGGUUAUUUCAGUUGUGGCAGGAGAAGGGCCAGAUUUAAUAAAUAGGGCAAAUUGGAGUGAGACAGCAAUUCCAAAAGCAUUAAUGGGAGUGAAAAGUUCUCAUGAUCGACUAACAGUACCUGGAAAGUCCUAGAAAGGUCCUUGAAUUUGAAGUUAACCAAGGUGUGGGAACCCUGUUUUUAGAACGCUUGUCCUCCAAAUUUAAAAAAUUUAGGAGCACCUUCUGAUCAAUAAUCAAAAAUUCGGUUCAAAAAUUAGCCUUCCUAAUACAAGGUGACAUUUGACUCCUUAAAGUGACUUACAGGGGUAUUUUCUUUUUACCUUUGCAAUGGCAUCAUUUUCAUCUGUCAAACUCAAAAAUUUAUGUUCAUAAGCUUUUUAAAAUCUCUAUUUAAAACAAUAUAAUAAGUAGAAUAAGACAAAUAAGUUACCAAUCAUAUGAAAUUAGUAUUAAUAAAAAAUUAAUUUGUACUACAGAGGUGGCACAGAAGAACACAAAAGUGGCUUUCAUUUUCAGACGUUUAAUGAGGUUCAGAGGUGGCAUGAGUAGAAUUAAAUUCAUAGAUUCAUGUGGACAUUAAUGUUUUAAAUACCAAAUUUUGAAUACAGAAAUAUUAAGUGAUUUAAAUAACUGAAAUUAUUAGCUAAAAAUGAAACCGUGGCGGUGGUGGCAAGUCGCUGAUUUGAUUACUGAAUCAUUCAUUCAAUUGAUUCGUUCGAACAGCUGAUUCAUUCCGGAAUGAAGCAAGUGACUGUCUUUAUGAAUGGGUAAUUAUGAAUCACUGACUCACUAGAUUCGUUCAAAAACGCACUUUCAGUCAUGAAUGAAACACCGCUGUGUUUGCUUUUAGAGAUGUGCAGCGGCUCAGCUGUUACUUUAUUUGGAACUAUUUUCGUUGUUGAUAGAGCAAAAUCAUGCAAUCAUUGUUUAUUGAUCUGUUGUAUUAAAUCAAUAUCACGUUUGCAAACUCCCUUAAUAAUUAUUAAAAGCUGUCACUCUCUCUUAUCGCGAUCAGUGGGCACACAGAAAAUGAGAGCGUGCGAGUGAAUUAUCAAGACUCAAAAGUACGUGCAAAUUUGAUACAUUCCAUCGGAAUGUGCGGGAAUGAGUAGAAUUAUUAUUAAUAGCCGCAAUCCCGCGCCGAAAUUCAAGUUCUGCUCUGUGUUCUCUGCUAAUAACCCGACUGUGAGUGAUGCGAGCGCUGUUACUAUGUUGUCAGUGAGAAGCUGCAGCUGUGGCAGGGAUGAUGUUUGGUGUGCCGGCAAAACAACAAUGCGCUACAUGUUUCUUUUCCCCUCAUUUUUUCCAAUUGAUGGAAAUCCGUCGUAGACUUGCUCGUACUCUAUCGCAUACCUUGUCAGUGUCAUGCACUUGCUUAGCCCUUUGUUGUGAGAAACAGUAAAGUGUGUUCAGCUGAAUUCAAUUUCCAUUUUGUGAAACGGGUAUAAAAAAGCUUAGUAUUCCACGGGCAGAGAUUUCAUUACUUCUAUUAUUAGCCAUUCAAGGCUAAACCUCAUGGCACUAACAGAGACCUGGAUCAAACCAGAGGACACUGCUACACCUGCAGCACUCUCCAGUAAUUUCUCAUUUUCUCACACCCCCCGUUUGACUGGAAGAGGUGGAGGUACUGGUCUGCUUAUCUCUUAUGAUUGGAAAUUUAAUCCUUUACCAGCUCUGGUUAUCAACACCACCUCCUUUGAAUCACAUUCAGUUACUGUUACCUACCGUCUUAAAUCCAUUUUGUCGUUGUUUAUCGGCCCCCCAGGACAACAAGGGUAACUUCUUGGAUGAAUUAAAUGUGCCGCUCUCAACCUUUCCUGAGGAUGGUACUCCCCUAGUUAUGCUUGGAGACUUCAACAUCCACCUAAAUAAACCUCAGGCUGCAGACUUCCACACUCUGCUUGCCUCUUUUGAUCUCAACCGAGUGUCAAUUAUGGCUACUCACAAAUCAGGCAACCAACUGGACCUUAUUUACACACGACACUGCUCCAGUGAUCAUGUACUGGUUACUCCACUGCACACCUUGGAUCACUUCCUCCUCACUCUUAACCUCAACAUGGUUCCUGACACAACACAUACCCCUCCACAUGUCAUCUUUCGACGUAACCUACGCUCACUCUCACCCUCACCCUCCCGGCUAUCUGCUAUGGUUUCAUCUUCGCUACCUUACCCUAAACAGUUAGCAUCUCUUGACGCUAACAGUGCUACUGAUACUUUCUUCUCCACUCCUUCAUCUUGUUUAGACACUGUCUGCCCAUUUUUUUUCCACGCCAGCCUGUACCACCCCUUCUGUCCCUUAGCUAUCUUAUGUUCUCCGCAAACAUCAUUCUAAGCUCAGGGUUGCUGAAAGGGUGUGGCGUAAAUCCAAAAAAUCCUACUGACCUUAAUGUGUAUCAGUCACACCUUUCUUCCUUCUCUGCUAAAGUCUCCACUGCUAAAAGGACAUAUUACCAUAACAAAAUUAACAAUUCGUCUAACUCUCGCAUGCUCUUUAAAACAUUUUUCUUGCUCCUUUGUCCCCCUCCUUCAUCGACUCUAACAGCUGAUGACUUUGCCACAUUCUUCAUUAAUAAAAUUAAAACCAUCAGUGCACAAUAUUCCACACCACAAUCUGUCAAGCGCAUCUUACCAGCAAACAUACACUCGUUCACAUCCUUCUCUUCACUCUCUGAGGCAGAAGUCUCCAAACUCAUCCUUUCUAAUCAUUCAUCUCAUUCAAGCCAUUUCUCCUUCAGUUGUACCUGCACUCACUCACAUCAUUAACACAUCCCUUCACACUGGUGUUUUUCCCUCAGCAUUUAGACAGGCUCAUAUAACCCCACUACUUAAUAAAUCCAUCUCUUUUAGAGACCUACUGACCGGUUUCCCUUCUUCCUUUCAUUGCAAAAACACUUGAAUGAGCUGUGUUCAACCAAGCCUUUCUCACACAGAACAACCUCUUGGCCAGCAACCAGUCUGGUUUCAGAAGUGGACAUUCAACCAAAACUGCCUUGCUCUCAGUUGUUGAAGCCCUAAGACUGGCAAGAGCAGAUUCCAAAUCUUCAAUACUUAUCUUGCUGGAUCUGUCUGAUGCUUUUGACACCGUUAACCACCAGAUCCUCCUGUCAACCCUAUUGGCAAAGGGCAUCUCAGGAACCACAAUCCAAUGGUUUGAGUAUUACCUCUCAGAUAGGUCCUUCAAGGUAUCUUGGAGAGGUGAGGUGUCCAAGUCACAACAUCUAACUACUGGAGUGCCUCAGGGCUCAGUUCUUGGACCACUUCUCUUCUGUGUCUACAUGGCAUCACUAGGCUCUGUCAUUCAGAAACAUGGCUUUUCAUACCACUGCUAUGCUGAUGACACUCAACUCUACCUCUCAUUCCGUCCUGAUGAUCCAACGAUAGCUGCUUGCAUCUCAGCUUGUCUAACAGACAUUUCUUGCUUCUUUACUUUUGAUUCUGGGUGGAUUGAGUCGUCGAAAAAAACUGCUGUUUGAGCUCUGUCCGGGCACUAAGCAACGAUGCGUGGCAUGUAAAGGCAGUCAGAAAGAUGUAAAUAAUAUAAAAAGCUGCUUAAAAGUGCUUAAUGAGCUUGGUCAAAACAUUCCCCCGAUUUGUGUCACACUUCUUGGACGAGUUACCACCUGUGAAAUUUAACAAUGUGGAUGUUUCAAGCCUGCUCUGUAAGAUGGAGUGCCUGCACAGUGAAGUGAACACGCUACAGCAUGCAGUGAAAUUGGGAACAAUCAAACUGUUCCAAAAUGUAUAUAGUGUAUUCCUGUGUUGUAUGCAUGCUCCUAGGUUAUAGUAGCUUAUAGUACUGUAGUGAAGCUCCAAUUACUUGGAUCUAGACAUAUGAAUGUAUCAAUGCCUUAAUGUUUUCCAAACCCUUGCAUGUUAGUUAUCAAAAUGACCGUCUUCCGAUUCCUGGAUUAAUGGUGUAUAUUAUGUCACCAUAACGUGUACCAUACUCUUUUUACCAUACUCUGACUUAAUAUUGGACAAAUCCCCCAGACCACUAUAAACCAUGCAAAUAAGGUGUUGCGUGAGACAAAGGAACCUCUCCCACUCAGAAUUCACACCUCUACAUUGGUCAAUCUGCCAAAGAUGGGUGUGACCAUGGACCCAAACCCAUCAUUGCUCAAUCCCUUUGAGACACACUCUCCAAGACUCAUCACCCUUGAGUUGGACCUUCUGGCAGUUUUUAUCAUCAAGUAACUUUGUUGAUUCACUGUGGACUUUCCAAUCUUCAGAAGAACCCGACAAAAGCCUCCAGCUCACUCCUACUGAACUCAUCAAGAACCUCUGUUGUCUACCGCAUCUGGACUCUUGUUCAGCAGCGAAGCCAAAGCAAGUAACCGUUUCCAACUAGUUAGAUGCAUGUCUAAGUUUGGGCCCCUUUGUUAAGGUGAUUCUUGAUUCUCUGAUGAUUCUCACUAGGUUGUGGUUAAUUGAUGCAAACUACUGCCAUUCUUUGUUCUUCUCUCUCUCUCUCUCUUUCCUUACUUUCCUUCAUUCUGUAUAUAUGUGUUUUGCUUAGUCUAGUUGUAUGUUAGCUAUAGUUUCAUUUAUUAAAUUCAUUAUAUUCACAAUUGAUUGCCUCUGUGUUCUGCUCACGAUUCGGAGUCACUGAUUGUUGAUCUUGCUACAUGCUAAGUUAAUGCUAGUACUGUAUGAAGUAGGAAAGUUAUUCUUUCUUGGCCAGGAAAAUAAUCUUUCCUAGAAUUGAUAAAUGAUUAUACUGUAGGUGGACGAACAGAUUAAAUCAUUGUAAUAUUGAUUCUGCUACAGUUAAUUGUAAGAUCUGAUCUAAAUAUUCAUAAUUAAUUAUAACCAGUUAUUAUUAAUUAUAAAUAUUUCCCUUUCGAGCUAAUUUGCUAUA